RNAcentral lists this ribosomal RNA (349 nucleotides) under Mantidactylus femoralis. RNAcentral describes it as "partial 16S ribosomal RNA". It matches the Rfam family "Bacterial large subunit ribosomal RNA", at positions 2080 to 2597 of the family's 2925-position model. The record is from RNAcentral. Lineage: Eukaryota; Metazoa; Chordata; Amphibia; Anura; Mantellidae.
ACGAGAAGACCCCAUGGAGCUUUAAACCCAAUUAUAUCCCUAACCCCUAUACCCAUUUAACCUCUUAGGCCUAUAUACUUGGUUUUAGGUUGGGGCGACCACGGAGUAAAACCAAACCUCCAUGAUGUACGGAACAACCUCCUUAUCUAAGAGCCACAGCUCUAAGAAUUAGCACACUAUCAUAAAAUGACCCAUUAUUGAUCAACGAACCAAGUUACCCUGGGGAUAACAGCGCAAUCCAUUUUAAGAGCCCCUAUCGACAAAUGGGUUUACGACCUCGAUGUUGGAUCAGGAUAUCCCAGUGGUGCAGCAACUACUAAAGGUUCGUUUGUUCAACGAUCAAAAUCCU